AGAGUGGUAAAUGGCUUGCCAAUCCCCUAUGUGUCUAAAAUCUGCAAAUCUAUUAGUUACAGUAAUAAUGUAUUUUAAUUAUUUUUCCUUCUGUGACUAUUAGAAAUUUUGCAAUAAGUGUUACUGUUUAUGUGCUGUUACUUUACAUGUUGUUGUGUUUAACCACUAGAGGGCAGUGUUGCGGACGUUAUCGCUGGACAUUUUAUUUUGAAAAGACGCAAAGCAGUCGUUUUUCCUGUUCGUCUUCCUGUUUUGAUGUCUGCUCCGCGGUUGUUUCAUCUGCAUGAUAAACAAAAUAUCCACGAAGUUUUAAGAGGACGGAAAUGUGCGUCGUGGUAGUGAGAAAGCCGUAAGAGACGCGUAGCUUGUGAGAAAACGGCGCCAUUUCCAGCGUUCCUGGGUGUAAAACAGUUGAAAACUGUGAGUUUUGUUUGAUUAUUUAUUUGUAACUUCUCCAAUGACUUGUAAGUAAUUUUAUUUAUUUAUUUGUGUUCAUUCUCAGUGGUCAGAGUCCACUGCCGUAUUUUUAUGUUACUUUCUUUAACAUUUUUGUUUGGUAAAAUCCUUUGCCACGAGACCAACCAGUUGUCAAAGAAAUUCUGAGAUUUUGUUUUACUUGAAGCAAGUCUGUGAACAUUUUUGAGUGUGAUUUAAAAAUAAUAAAUUGCUGUAAAAAACCCA
This is a long non-coding RNA of Oryzias melastigma (Indian medaka), 681 nucleotides long. RefSeq lists it as uncharacterized. The record is from RefSeq and is a predicted model, not a curated record. The transcript is spliced from 2 exons. Lineage: Eukaryota; Metazoa; Chordata; Actinopteri; Beloniformes; Adrianichthyidae.